Long non-coding RNA from Panonychus citri (citrus red mite), 7953 nucleotides. RefSeq lists it as uncharacterized. The record is from RefSeq and is a predicted model, not a curated record. The transcript has 7 exons. Lineage: Eukaryota; Metazoa; Arthropoda; Arachnida; Trombidiformes; Tetranychidae.
GGUGUCACUUUCCUUAGAAAAUGAAAACAAACGAAUUCUCUUAAUUGUGAUUAGUGUUUUUCUUUGAAUAAUCAGUUAAUUCAGUGGAUUAAACAAGUGAAUUAGAAUUGAUAAUCUACUUCUAAUUCUAUUUAGCAACAAUUCUCUCAGUUUAUUUUCUACCUUUUUCUCUUCUAUUUUUUUUGUUCCUUCUCUGGAUCUUAGACUUUUUCGUUUUCCCUUUUCAACUUAUAUAUUGUCUAUUCGGUUAGCCUUGUUUUCUUCAUAGCGUGUUCCUUGACGUUGAUGAAUGUUCUCUUUUUCUCUCUUGUAAGAUUCAUUUUUUUUUUCCUUGUAAGGUAUAAGAAAAACGACUCUCAACUCUAUAAAAACGUGUCUUCUAAUCUUCUUCGCUUUUUCUUCAUCAUCCAUAAACUUCCUUCUUUUUCCCUUUUGUCUUGUUCUUUUUUCACCUUCAUUAUUUUAUAAAUAUGACUUGAGAAUAUUUUUCUUCCAUCUUUAUCUCUUUCUCUCUCUCUCUCCUUUUUUACCUCAUUUUACCACACUUUCUCUCCUCCCCCUCAUCCUCCUUGUUGAUCUUCUUUUCCCAAUACUAUCUCUCCAAGUCUUUACCUUGCUCACUUUCUUCAAUCAUCAUCAUCAUCAUCAUCAUCAUAAUCUUCUGACCUCAUCCUACUUCUAAACAACAACAACAACAACAACAGCAAAACAACCUCCCAUUUCCCUUCGAUAUGUUAUUUCCUGAAAAUGAUUUGGUGAAAGAUAUUAACAAAAGAGAAUCGCAACAACAAUAACAAGGCCGAAGUGUUACUUAUUUAUAUACAAAAGCCAUCCAUUAAAAAUUUAGGAAAAGGGAUAACAUAAGAUGACAGACACUUGUUACCGAGACAAAUACCCUUUCGACACACCAUAAAAAUUAACCUGUUUAUGAAUAGACAAUCACGUACAGAUAAUGGAAACAAGAUCUUGCAAUGAUUGGGACGAAGGAGAAACAAAAAACAGCCUGAAUAAGAUGAGGAAAUGAACCCACACACACUCACACAAACUCCAUUUAACUUUCUUCAAUGAACCAUUUUCUCAUGAUAAUCAAUCUUAAAUUAUUGUUUACACGGACAAUUAGGCAAAAUGGCUAAUGCAGGCAGACGAUGGAGAUGAAGAGGAGAGACCAAGGGCAAAGGACGAAAGCAAAGGAGGAAAAAGAGACACAAAAAAAGGACCAUGGAGAUGAGAAUCUCCAAUGAUGAGCCAAUAGAGUCAACACUUGAUUAGAAAGAACUAUGGCGACCAAAAAGAUUUAUCGAUUGAAAAUGUUGAUCACUAAUCAAAGAUUUCGAGAUGAUGAUAAAGCAGAAUAACAGAGUUUCUAGAGAAAAGGAGCAAAAGGAUUGGAAUAAUUUUUCAUCUGAAAGACAAAGAAGACAAAAUAAAAGCCAAAAAUGAUGAUGACGAGAAUAGAAAGAGAAUCAUUGAUGCAGGAUAAGAGAUUAAAGAGAAAGAGAAAGAGAAAGAGAUACAGAGAGAGAAGACACAGAUAACGACAAUUCUUGAGGAUGAUAAAAGAGAAAGAUAAUGUUCAGUGAGUAAGGAAACAUGGUUGUGCUCAAAGAAGCGUAUAAUUUAGUGUGGGUUGUCUGUCCAGUUCAGUUCACCUUAAAAUGUUUCCAGUGUCCAUUCAUCUUAUCAAACAUUUACUUCCAGAGGUAACAUUGAAACAGAACAACAAUGAAAUAGAUUACUACAAGUCAAGGUAAACAGCAAAGAAAGAGGAAAUAUCAUGUGGUGUCAAAAGUAAAACUACUACGAGAAGAUUAAAGGUGAACUCUCAAGAAUUGAAGAAGUCUGAAGAAAUUUAAUGAACCACCACCUCCCACAAAGAGAAAUGGAUUGAGAGAGAGAGAGAGAGAGGAACUUAUGGACUCCUUAAUAAUUUAUCUUCUUUCCUGUUGUUCAUUUUCCAUCAUCAUCAUCAACAUUAUUGCUCAUCCUCUUGCUCUCUUUUUAUUUUCAUCUAAUAACAUUUUUACUUGAACAAAACAAAAAUAUUAAGUCGAUUUUCCUAUAGAAUUAAAUUCUAUGUGAAAGCCUUAAGGUGAUGAUUAUGAUUAUGAUGAUUAUGCUGAGAGAGACAUAUUUCACACUUGAAGGCUUACAUAGGUUUGCCACGGUGUGGCGAGCAAAGUAAGAUGAUGAUUAUGAUGAUGGUGAAAAAAAAGAGGAGCCGCCAAUAGGAAUCAACUAGGGAAUGUUGAUGAUGAUGAAAAUGAUGAUGAAAAUGAUCAUCAUUGGUUUUUACUAACCAAAGAUAAGGUUUGGCACAAUAUCAUCUUUAUCUUCAUCAUCUUUUACCCUAUAUAGUGAAAAGAUGAAGAUGGAAAUGAAAUCAGGUUGAAUUUUUCUUCUCUCUCAUUCUCGCCAUUCAUCUUUACCCUUUUUACCCUUUACUUCACCUUUCAUGGACUUUAGGCUAUGGAGAUGAGGAUGAGGAUGAGGAUUCCACAGAAUUCUGGUUACCAGGGAAACCAUUUGAAAGUAAAAUGAUGAGAAAUAUUUUCUCUUGCAAAAUGUUAUGGUAAUUUCUUUAUUUCUCUUCCAUAUUCAACAUUUUUUAACUUCCUCAUUCUCAUCAUCAUCUUUAUCAUCAUUAAUUUUAUAUCAAGUAACCUAAACAAUUGAAAUAAUGAGAUCAACAUGAUAACCUCAGAAAUUUUAACUCUUAUUAAUCAACAUAAUCCUAAUUCAUUAAGCAUCUUCAAUAACCUAUUCUUAACCCUAAUAAUCAACUACUUGUCAUCCAAGAUGAUCAUCAUCAUCAUCGUAAAUAAGUUAACAAUUUACAUGUAAAAUUAAUGUAAACAUGAUUAAGAUUAUAUGUAAAUAUUAGAUUUGAAUCUCGAGAAAAAAAAACUUUUUCACUGAGUUCGUGUCACUUUUUAUUAUUAGAUUUAUGUUUUUUUUUCCUUAAUCAAAACCACAAGAAAUUUAAAUUACAAUCAACUUGCUGUUGAUUGUUAUGAUUUUUCAACACUCCUUUACUUAUAUAACCCUCACUACCUUGAAACUAAUUAAAUUAAACAAGAAUCAUCAUCAUCUUGAUGUCGGUGAUACUUAGAUUAGAUUAUGAUUGUUGUUGUAAAAUUAACAAUCAACAACUCAUGAUUUUUAUCAAUUUAACAAAAACACUAAUGAUUAUAAUAUUAACUGAUUUAAUUUAAUAUUCAUAUUAAGAUAUUAUCAACACCAUGUUGAUGAUAAUGAUGGUAAUCAUGAUAAUCAUGAUUAAAUGAUGAUCAUGAUGAUGAUGGUUUUACAAAGUUAAAAUUGUAAACUUUUGUCUUAUGGUUGUUAAUUCAACAUGAUACAAUUAAGAAGCAAAGUAAAGAUGAUUAAGAUUAAGAUGAUGAUGAUGAUGAUGAUAACCGUUAAUUAUUAAUUGUAAGCUUAUGAUAAAUAAUUUGAAUGUUAUAUUAAUAUGAAAAUUGUUGUUGAACAUGAAUCGGAAAUGAAAGCCUUUAAGGCAAGUAAGAGGAAACUGAUGACGGAAGAUGAUGAUGAUGAUAAGGAUGAUGAAGAUUGAAAGGUUGUGAGAGGGAGUGAGAGAGAGAGAGAGAGAGGAUGAAGGUGGAAUUAAAAAAGGUAAACACUCAGAAUUUGAAUGUUUCUCUAGUUAAAUAUAAAUCUAUUGUUAUUCGUAUGUAUUAUCUUUCCAGAAUCAUAUAUACACGAUAAUAGAAAAAAAAAGAAUAUUUUUUUUUCUGUUUGUUCGAUGAAAUAAUAACUUUUGCCUGAAGAACCGGAAGAAAAGGAGGAAAAAGAUGAUGAAGAGAAAGAUGAGAGGGAAGAAAAAAAUAUUCUAUUUAUCUUGUUUUCUUUUUUUUUCUCUUCAUCAUCCUCAUCAUCAUUGUAUUUCUUUUCAUCUCUGAUUCUGGUGUGAAUCUGAAAACUGAAGACCUUCAUGAAGGAAGAUGACACUUUCUUUAGCUGUUGAUUAUCUCGAUCAUCAUGAAAAUGAUAAUGAUGACAAAAGGUGUGAAGAGAACAAAAAAAAUGUAAUUCUUUUCAUCAUCAUCAUCACAUUUAUCUUCAUCUUCAUCUCAAGCUUCAUAUUUCAAAUCACUUUUUUUUGUUUAGGAAAUGAAAUGACAACUUUUAUCAUCUCCUACAAUCAGAGUAACUAUUUUAGAAUCAUCCUUUUUUUUGUUAUCAUCUUCAUCUUGAUCAUCAUCCUUUCACUCUCAUGGAUGAACAUGAAGGAGGAUGAAGAGUGACAUCAACAUACACCAAGUGAAUUGUUGACCUUUUUUGCAUGUUAUCAAUAUCAUCAUGAUCCGCAUCCUCAUCCUCUCAUCAUCAUCAUGAUCAUGUCCCUGUCAUGAAUGAAAAAUAUAUUUGUCCUCACAAUUGGUAAAUAAUAUUAUGUAUUUAAAACUAAUCAUGAUAAAGUCAAAACAAAUCAUGAGAUCAAUUGUCAACCAUCAUCAUCAUCAUCAUCAUCAUAAUAGUUAUCAUGUUAAAACCCAUAGGAAACUUUUUCCUCCAUGGUAUCAAGAGAUAAAAAAGUUUGUGAUUUUUUCAAAUGAAUCCUCCUGAAUUCAUGAUCCGAUUUCAUCCUUACAUCAUCAUGAUCAUCAUGAAGGGAUAAAACCUUUAUGAUGAUGAAAAACUUUUGACUAAAAUAUUUUUCACACAAAAAUAAUCUUCCAAUGUUGUAAAAAAAAACAUUAUCAUCAUUUGAACAUGUUGAAAACUCAGGUAUUAUCAUUAUGAUGAUUAUGAUUAUUACACUGUUGAAAUAAAUGUUACGCUAGAAUCAUCAUCAUCAUCAUCAAUUUGAGUAUUAUAUCAUGCAAGGUAACCCGAAAAUUGUCAAGAUGAUAAUGAUGAUGAUGAGAGAGAGAGAGACCAAGUUAUGUCUAAUCUAAGCUGACGCGGCGUGAAGAUAUAUAUUCAUUUUCUUUCAGGAUUUAUCCAUUUUCUUCAGGGGAUAAGAGAUGAUGAUGAAGAUGAGGAUGAAUAUAAUACUAUCAUUUUGAGGGUAGGUUAAAAUGUCACCCGUUAUCACUUGAGAACCGAGUCUUCCUCCUCCUUUUCCUCCUCAUCAUCAUCAUCCUCCCACUAUCAACCUUCAUCCCUCAUCUUUGGAUGGGUAACAUUAUAUUCUAGGAAAAAUAGAGAUAAAAAUAAAACUAUCAAAAGAAUAACUUAAAACUAACCCCACUCCCACCUUCCACCUCCCUCUCAUUCAUCCUUCUAUUGUCAUUGUUACUUUUAUCUUUCCACCAGCAUCUCUAAACCCACCCCACUCCCUUCAACCAACAUUCAUGUUCAAUUUCAAAUGAAUACAUAUGAAGAUAUGAAUUGAUGAUAUGAAUAAUAUUUUUUCCUUCUCGAUUUCAAUCAAUAUUAUAUUUGAAUAUUUGAAAAUCAAGAAAUUGAUAUUCACUUUUUUUUCAUCUGAUCACAUCGAUUUGAUUACAUUGUUUUAAUUGUUGGCAAGAGAAAAGUUGAACUCUGUUGAUUGUUGAUGUUCCAGUUUUUCAACUACAUAUCCAAUCCUCUUGAGGUGUAAGUGGUAUUCAGUUAGAUGAACAAAAAAUCAGUGAAAUUAAUUGUUUAUCUUAACCAAUCACUUUGAGAAUCAACAAAACUUUAAUACCAACACAUCAAGUUUCAAUGUUCAUGAGUUUUUACAUGGGGAGAGAGGGUGAAAGUGGAAAAAUUUUCAAGAAUAAGAAACUUAUCUCAACAAUUCCCUGGACGAUUCUGUCUAUUCAAUCCGUUCUCUAUCUUCCCAUCCGUAUCAUCAUCAGUAAAAUGAUGAUGAGGAUGCUAAAGUUAUACUAAGGAUGAUGAGGAAGAAGAUAAAUUCUCAAACAAUAGUUAAUCUUAUUGGAUUUUUUUUUCUCUCUCUCUCUUUCUCCCAAGAUAAACACUUGAUAUUAUCAUGAAUCCUAUACGAUGAUGGUGGGAAACAUUUUCUCAUGAUGAUGAUGAUUUUAUCAUGAUAAAGGUGUUAUCAUGAUACAGAUUUUUGUUUAUCAUCAAGAUGAUGGUGAUGAUGAUGAUAAGUAAACAAGUGAACCUUAAAAGGAUAAGGAUUAUACCUUCGAGGCAGAUUCUUGAUAUUCAGUAUCAUCUAUUUAUUGUAAGAUUAUCAUUCUCAUCAUCAUGUAACAUUUUCUCUAUCAUGAUGAUUAUGGUGUAAGGAAAAUUAUUCUCAUGAGAUAAUUUCAUCUACAUUAUUUGUGAACAUUGUUGAAAUUGAGGUGAAAAAAAAAUCAGUAAACCUAAAAGUGACCCAAAUAUAUUUAACUCUUGUUUCAUAUUAACAUCAUCAUCAACAUGAUCCAUGGUGAUGAUGAUGAUAACUCCCUAGAUGAUGAUGACCAAAAGGAUGAUGAAUCCAUAAAAAGAUUGACCCUAAAAAGUAAAAACCUCAGAGGUACAUUACAUCAUCUGCAAGAAGAUGAAGGAGGAUGAGGAUGGGGAAGAAGGUGUUAUCAUCAUCAUCAUCAUCACCAUCUCGUUAAUCUUAAUCCGAAUCUCAAUCGAUUACGAGUUGAACCUUUGAACAAUAAUUUAUCCUGGAAAAUGUUGAUAUAAAAUGAAUGAUAUAUUAUCUGCUAUUGAUGAUUUUUCAUGAUUCAAAUCAUGAAAAAUUGAUUCAAUCAGAAUGAGAAAUGAAUGAACAAAAAAAUAAACGAUUCCUCAUCCUAAUGUUUAUCCAAUAAUUUUCAUCUUCCUCACUCAUGAUAUUAUUAUUAUUACUUUACAUUGAAUUACAUUGACUUUCACUGAAAGAUGAUGAUGAUGAUGAUGAUGAUGAUUAAAUGAUAAUAACGUUUCACCCUGAGGCAAAAUUACAUUUGAAUUCAACUUGAAUCACCACAAGAAUCAAAUCCCAACACAUAAAUGGUUAAUAAUACAAAUCAAAUGUUGAUACAUGAUGAGUGAUAAAAAAAACCGUUACCUCAAAUUUUAGGUUGAAAAGGAAGAAGAAAAAAAGUUUUGUUAAUUUAAUUGUGAAUCAAAUUGAUAAUGAUUACAAUCAACUGAUUCCUCUCUCUCUCUUUGGGUGAUGGUGUUGGGAGGGAUAAGGGAAAUAACUCCCACUCUGUUGUCCUUUGUACCUCGAGGGCAAAAUUGGUUAAAAUUGAACAAAGAACAAGAAAUUAACAAUGGUAACAAUUUGCCUCUCGUUAAUAGUGAUCAAGUUAAAUUGUUGGAAGGUGGAAAGUUUAAGAUUAAUCGAUUAAGGUGUAAUUUAAAUUGUCACCAAUCAAGAGUAUAAUUGGUUAUUCAUGAAGUUUCAGGUUUAGUUGGGAUCUUGUCAUUUUUUCCUCCUUGGGCUAAAAUAACAUUGGAAACUUUUUCCCUUCUCUCUCUCUCUCUCUCUCAGUGUCUCUCAUCAUCUUCAUCAUCUUCAUCUUCCUCAUCAUUCCCAUUGCUGAAUCUCAUGGGCAAAGGCAAUUGAAAUCAUGUUCAUGAUGAACUUUAUCUAUCUACUUUUUCCCCUUUUCUCUCAAUUUAAAUUGUUAAUGGUUUGUAAUUUGUGUUAGUUAACAGUUAGUGUAUUUAACUUUCAUAUCAAACUCUCUUGAUUGGUGAUGAUUAAAACGGUAAUUGCAAUUUACAUGUUAUAAAUAAAGUCUCUCUUUGAUUGUUGUAAUCAUUGUUUGAUUUUUCCAAGGGUUCAAUUGUUGUAUAUCAGGUUCAAAGGUUGAUUCAUACGUUAAUUGUUACGAUUAAGCUUAAAAAUUUGUGUGUCUCAGUUUGCUAAUCAAAUUAAUCAGUCAAUCAUCAGUAACAAAUUGAUAUUAAUUAUUGAAAAUUAUUGUUGAUUGUAAACCUUUUCAAUUUUUCUUGUUGAUAAUUGUUAUUUCCCUGAUUGAUUUUAUGCUCUUCCCUUGCAACGGAAAAGGAAAUGAUGAAAAUUUACUCACUAAGAGAGAGAGA